CCUACGGGUGGCUGCAGUGGGGAAUAUUGGACAAUGGGCGAAAGCCUGAUCCAGCCAUGCCGCGUGUGUGAAGAAGGCCUUCGGGUUGUAAAGCACUUUCAGUGGGGAAGAAAGCCUUGGGGCUAAUACCCUCGAGGAAGGACAUCACCCACAGAAGAAGCACCGGCUAACUCCGUGCCAGCAGCCGCGGUAAUACGGAGGGUGCGAGGUUAAUCGGAAUUACUGGGCGUAAAGCGCGCGUAGGCGGUCUGAUAAGCCGGUUGUGAAAGCCCCGGGCUCAACCUGGGAACGGCAUCCGGAACUGUCAGGCUAGAGUGCAGGAGAGGAAGGUAGAAUUCCCGGUGUAGCGGUGAAAUGCGUAGAGAUCGGGAGGAAUACCAGUGGCGAAGGCGGCCUUCUGGACUGACACUGACGCUGAGGUGCGAAAGCGUGGGUAGCAAACAGGAUUAGAUACCCCCUGUAGUC
RNAcentral lists this ribosomal RNA (465 nucleotides) under Vreelandella stevensii. RNAcentral's name for it is "partial 16S ribosomal RNA". It matches the Rfam family "Bacterial small subunit ribosomal RNA", at positions 338 to 795 of the family's 1533-position model. The record is from RNAcentral. Lineage: Bacteria; Pseudomonadati; Pseudomonadota; Gammaproteobacteria; Oceanospirillales; Halomonadaceae.